GAUAGCGUGGCCGAGCGGUCAAAGGCGCGGGAUUUAAGCUCCAGUCUCUUUCGGGACGUGGGUUCGAAUCCCUCCGCUAUCA
This 82-nucleotide transfer RNA is filed under the name Callorhinchus milii (elephant shark). RNAcentral's name for it is "tRNA-Leu (TAA) (tRNA-Leu-TAA-8-1)". It matches the Rfam family "tRNA". From Rfam's summary of the family: Transfer RNA (tRNA) molecules are approximately 80 nucleotides in length. Their secondary structure includes four short double-helical elements and three loops (D, anti-codon, and T loops). Further hydrogen bonds mediate the characteristic L-shaped molecular structure. tRNAs have two regions of fundamental functional importance: the anti-codon, which is responsible for specific mRNA codon recognition, and the 3' end, to which the tRNAs corresponding amino acid is attached (by aminoacyl-tRNA synthetases). tRNAs cope with the degeneracy of the genetic code in two manners: having more than one tRNA (with a specific anti-codon) for a particular amino acid; and 'wobble' base-pairing, i.e. permitting non-standard base-pairing at the 3rd anti-codon position. Lineage: Eukaryota; Metazoa; Chordata; Chondrichthyes; Chimaeriformes; Callorhinchidae. The record is from Rfam by way of RNAcentral.